UAAUCUUGCGACCGUACUCCCCAGGCGGAAUGCUUAAUCCGUUAGUGUGACACCAACAAGUAUACUUGCUGACGUCUGGCAUUCAUCGUUUACGGUGUGGACUACCAGGGUAUCUAAUCCUGUUUGCUCCCCACACUUUCGCACCUCAGCGUCAGUAUCGAGCCAGUAAGCCGCCUUCGCCACUGGUGUACCUCCGAAUAUCUACGAAUUUCACCUCUACACUCGGAAUUCCACUUACCUCUCUCGAACUCAAGACUAGCAGUAUUAAAGGCAGUUCCAGGGUUGAGCCCUGGGAUUUCACCUCUAACUUACUAAUCCGCCUACGUGCGCUUUACGCCCAGUAAUUCCGAACAACGCUAACCCCCUCCGUAUUACCGCGGCUGCUGGCACGGAGUUAGCCGGGGUUUCUUUACCAGAUACUGUCAUUAUCAUCUCUGGCGAAAGUGCUUUACGACCCUAGGGCCUUCAUCACACACGCGGCAUGGCUAGAUCAGGGUUGCCCCCAUUGUCUAAGAUUCCCUA
This 522-nucleotide ribosomal RNA is filed under the name uncultured Alphaproteobacteria bacterium. RNAcentral's name for it is "partial 16S ribosomal RNA". Lineage: Bacteria; Pseudomonadati; Pseudomonadota; Alphaproteobacteria. The record is from RNAcentral.